CCUACGGUAGGCAGCAGUGAGGAAUAUUGGUCAAUGGGCGCGAGCCUGAACCAGCCAAGUAGCGUGAAGGAUGACUGCCCUACGGGUUGUAAACUUCUUUUAUAAAGGAAUAAAGUGAGGCACUUGUGCCUUUUUGUAUUUACUUUAUGAAUAAGGCUCGGCUAACUCCGUGCCAGCAGCCGCGGUAAUACGUAGGAUGCGAGCGUUAUCCGGAUUUAUUGGGUUUAAAGGGAGCGUAGAUGGGUUGUUAAGUCAGUUGUGAAAGGUUGCGGCUCAACCGUAAAAUUGCAAUUGAUACUGGCAGUCUUGAGUACAGUUGAGGUAGGCGGAAUUCGUGGUGUAGCGGUGAAAUGCUUAGAUAUCACGAAGAACUCCGAUUGCGAAGGCAGCUUACUAAACUGUCACUGACAUUGAUGCUCGAAAGUGUGGGUAUCAAACAGGAUUAGAUACCCGUGUAGUC
RNAcentral lists this ribosomal RNA (460 nucleotides) under uncultured bacterium. RNAcentral describes it as "partial 16S ribosomal RNA". It matches the Rfam family "Bacterial small subunit ribosomal RNA", at positions 338 to 795 of the family's 1533-position model. The record is from RNAcentral.